This 492-nucleotide ribosomal RNA is filed under the name uncultured bacterium. RNAcentral describes it as "partial 16S ribosomal RNA". It matches the Rfam family "Bacterial small subunit ribosomal RNA", at positions 29 to 507 of the family's 1533-position model. The record is from RNAcentral.
AGUGAACGCUGGCGGUAGGCCUAACACAUGCAAGUCGAACGGCAGCACAGUAAGAGCUUGCUCUUACGGGUGGCGAGUGGCGGACGGGUGAGGAAUACAUCGGAACCUACUUUUUCGUGGGGGAUAACGUAGGGAAACUUACGCUAAUACCGCAUACGACCUACGGGUGAAAGCAGGGGAUCUUCGGACCUUGCGCGAUUGAAUGAGCCGAUGUCGGAUUAGCUAGUUGGCGGGGUAAAGGCGCACCAAGGCGACGAUCCGUAGCUGGUCUGAGAGGAUGAUCAGCCACACUGGAACUGAGACACGGUCCAGACUCCUACGGGAGGCAGCAGUGGGGAAUAUUGGACAAUGGGCGCAAGCCUGAUCCAGCCAUACCGCGUGGGUGAAGAAGGCCUUCGGGUUGUAAAGCCCUUUUGUUGGGAAAGAAAAGCAGCAGGUUAAUACCCCGCUGUUCUGACGGUACCCAAAGAAUAAGCACCGGCUAACUUCGUG